Molecule: long non-coding RNA, 727 nt
Filed under: Mus caroli (Ryukyu mouse)
Lineage: Eukaryota; Metazoa; Chordata; Mammalia; Rodentia; Muridae
Description: lncRNA (MGP_CAROLIEiJ_G0002766.1)
Source: RNAcentral
CGCCGUGCCCGGGCGAGACGUGUCGGCGGGGUUUCACGUGAGUGACACUUGGUCCCCACGGGACUGACAGUGACUAGCGUUGUGGCAUGGUGACCUCAGUGACUCUGUCCCUGACUCUGCCCCUUGUGAUGACCCCACCACUGACCCGCAGGCCUUGGAGGGGCUGAUCCUGGAGAAGCCAAAGGACCAGGAGGACACCAUGGGGGUGCUGCUCAGGCUGAGUGGGAAACAGAGCAGUACAGCUUCAUCAUGAGGGUAGCCAUUGUCAUCUGGGGCAUCCACGGGGGAGGAGCUGAUCCAUGACUACUUGGACACCAGCUAAGGAUGGGACAAGGCCGGGGCCUAUGCCAUCCAUGCGUGGGGAGCAAUGCUGGUGGAAGGCGGAUUUUGCAACAUCCUCAAUGCUGCGGGCAUCUCACUGAACCACUUCAGCUGCGAGCUUGCAAGGGUGCUGCCAGGGACAGGAAGUGACAUCGCUGUGGAGGGGACGGCAGGAAGUGAGGUCAGAGUGGGGGUGAUGGGAAGUAAUGUCAUGGGCUCAGGAAGUGAUGUGCUGCUGCUCUACAUGUGUAUGUGUAUACCUGGUCUGUGAUGCUGCAGAGUAUGUGUACAUUUGUGCCGGGUGUGGGAUGUACAUGUAUGCCUCAUGUUUGCCUGGUGUGUGAUGCCACUUUACAUGUGAUCCAGGUGUGAGAUGAUGCUGCACAUGUAUACAUGUGUACCUGGU